Molecule: long non-coding RNA, 609 nt
Filed under: Brassica napus (rape)
Lineage: Eukaryota; Viridiplantae; Streptophyta; Magnoliopsida; Brassicales; Brassicaceae
Description: long non-coding RNA (BNAP_LNC022367)
Source: RNAcentral
CUUAGUCUGACUAGUUAAGAUUGGUUUAGAGUUAAAUAUAAGAUCGACUUUGAAUAUUGGACUAUGGAGGGAUAAUUAUUAAGUAUUUCUGAAAAUGAUAAUACAAAGAUAAUAAGUUUAGGAGCAUGAAACAAUGGUGGAAAUAUUAAAAUGUAAGAUAGAGAACUAUUGACAAGGUUGGUAUGGAUGGCUGUUGAGUGUUGAUUUUUCUAUUCAUUUUUUUUUGUUUCUUUAGCAUCGUCUGCGUACUAAAACCGACAAAAAUAUAAUAAAGAACAUACACACCUUUCAACUAACUCAAUAUUACAUACAUAGAAUAUGUUUGAAAAACGGUUGAUACGAAGUCUCACGUUUUCAGUUUGGUUUACAAAAUAAAGUGAUCUUAACUAUCUCGAAACGCCAUGUAAAUGUGUACAACCUUUUAUGAUGCUUAGACGUCAAAUUAUUUCCAAUAGAUGUGAAUCAUUCUUUUAUGUCUUGAUUCUUGAAUAUAAAUAGAAUAAACAACCAGUUUUCGUUGGUUUGGUUGGUAACAAAAAGAGAUGGUAUAAGUUGCGUCAAAGAAGUAAUCCAUAUCUUCUUUUCCAACAAAGAAGAAAUCCCUCAGUC